This is a non-coding RNA of Lactuca sativa (garden lettuce), 1992 nucleotides long. The record is from RefSeq and is a predicted model, not a curated record. Lineage: Eukaryota; Viridiplantae; Streptophyta; Magnoliopsida; Asterales; Asteraceae.
CGUCAUCCUGAGGUAAGCUGACUGUUUGUGUGCUUAACUCCGCUCAACCCCACAUUAGCCUCACGUGAUAAUGGGAUUCACGAAACGGCAUCGUUUGCUGAUGAAAGAUGCCUUCCUGCUUGCUUCCGGUCAGCCUGACAUCACGUUGAGACGGAAGACUUGGUGGUGGGUUUUCCUUGAGGUAAUACCGACCUGGCGGUGGGCUUUCCUUCUUGACGGUAGAGUGUUUCCCCAAAGCUGCUUGGUUUGAAGCGCCGAUGAAACGUGCCCUUACCACCUGUACUUCUGUUUGUCGACUCGCCCUCUGUUAAUACCGUCUAUUAAUAACUUCAGUCGCCUGCUCCUUAUGUGGCUUUAAAUUUCGUCUCCUUAUUUUAUUUUUUUUGCUACUUCUCUCUAGACAGCGCUUCAGGUGAGGUUUGAAUUCAAUUUAUUAUUGUAUUAUUUAUGCUCUAUGAUGCUUGCAAAUUCAAGGGUUUGCAUGUUGGUGCUUCAUAGUUGAUAUCCGUUAUUUAUUAGGUAUCGUAGGGAUUGAUCUUGAAGGGGAAUGAAAACUAGCGAUUCAUGGUUCAAACAUUGAAGGGUUAAUAACCAAACAGUGGUCGGAGGGGAAAGAAUCAUCAGGGGAGGUAGGAGGUAACCAGAACAAAGCGACUUCUCAUGCUAACUGAAAUAUGGAAGUUUCUUGCCAAUUUGAAGAAAGAAAGUGCAGUAACUAGCUUCAAUUGACAGCAGGCUUCUUCUAAUCCUCGUGACUGAUUUGAAGUUGUAUUUAAUGGGCUGGUAAUGGUUUAUUCCUACCCUCUGUCCGGGACAACUGACAUUUCUGGCUACCAUUCUUAGUAACAGGUUGGAAACAUGAAAUGUUAGUAAGUUCCAUCAUCAAUGAAUCGGAUGAAAGAAGCAUGAAGAUGAUUUUGAACCAACCCUCUUGCCCCAAAUCCCUAAUUUUCCAUGUACAGGUUUCUUAAUUGAAAGAAUGUUAAUUUAACUUGGGUGCACGGUGCAAGAGAUUUGGAUAAAAAAAAAUGAUGAGAUCGAUGUCUACUUCGAUAAGCAGCUUUCCCACCAACCACUUAUAGAGAUGGAUUUUGAGUCAAUGCAAUUGCUUUUCCCCCUCAGACAUCUGAUGGUAGGCUGCAUGCUGUCAUGGUCAACCUCAUCAUCCUUUCCUCAGCAUGGCAUAACACUGGGGUUCCAAAAACAAAUGUUCAGGUGUAAUUUGUUGUCAAAUUUUUCGAGAGAGGAAGGGAACUGAUGGUGAUACAAGUAUUCGGGAAGCACAGAUUGUGUUACUUUAUAAGCCAGGGUAUCUACUAAGCUGUACAGCCUGAAUCUUUGAAAGUUAUGCUGGAAGUUGUUCAAAUAGAGAUAUUACCUGCUAGCAAAGUCUGGAAUAUUUUCCAUAUAACCUGGACUCACAGUCAAGUUUUCCGGACAAUUUACCAUAGAAGGUUCACAAGUCAAUGAUUUAAAAGCAUGGACAAACUUGGAAUUCUUCCUCAAGCUAAGGCAUUCUGUGAUAAAUUGCUCCAUACUAUCGACUGUAACAACGACAUACGAAUGGUCGUAAUAACGGAAUGACGUUUGGCACCCGCAGACCUGCAAGUCCGGCUGUAGCUAGCAGCAAGGUGUAGGAUUGUCAAUCCAGCAUAGAUCUAUACGCAAACUCAACGCUCCCCCUUCAAGAGACUCUAGCCACAACUCAAGUCAUGAGGUUUUAAGUCAUGCUCCGAUUUAAAUCACAGUAAAUAACGUCUUCUCGUAUAUGUAAUGUAAUGAACUGUUCUAGCUGUAAGGUACGUGCUCUCUACCUAGCAAGUAUAGUAAUGUAAACGUUCUAGAAUAGUUGUAUAUGUUCUCGUCCUAGUAUAGUUGUAUAUGUUCUCGUCCUAGUAUAGUUGUAUAUGUUCUCGUCCUAGUAUAGUUGUAUAUGUAAUGUACAGUAAUGUUCUAGAAAGUAUUGACUCAUGAAUGAACUGACUCAUUGUA